Molecule: ribosomal RNA, 449 nt
Filed under: uncultured bacterium
Lineage: Bacteria
Description: partial 16S ribosomal RNA
Rfam family: Bacterial small subunit ribosomal RNA
Source: RNAcentral
CCUACGGGAGGCUGCAGUGGGGAAUUUUGGACAAUGGGGGCAACCCUGAUCCAGCCAUGCCGCGUGAGUGAAGAAGGCCUUCGGGUUGUAAAGCUCUUUCGGCCGGGAAGAAAUCGCUCAAGCUAAUACCUUGGGUGGAUGACGGUACCGGAAGAAGAAGCACCGGCUAACUACGUGCCAGCAGCCGCGGUAAUACGUACGGUGCGAGCGGUAAUCGGAAUUACGCGGCGGAAACCAUACGCAGGAGGUGAAAUCCCCGGGCUUAACCUGGGAACUGCGUUUGUGACUGUGGUGCUCGAGUGCGGCAGAGGGGGGUGGAAUUCCACGUGUAGCAGUGAAAUGCGUAGAGAUGUGGAGGGACACCGAUGGCGAAGGCAGCCCCCUGGGUCGACACUGACGCUCAUGCACGAAAGCGUGGGGAGCAAACAGGAUUAGAUACCCUUGUAGUC